AUAGUGCAAGAUAGUCCGUCCUAGCGGAACCGGACACCCUCGGUCUGUCUGUCUGGUUCCGGUCAGGGAUCGGGUCCAGUAAACCCGAAUGAAAAUGGCGUCCGCCGGUCCACCAGACAUGGGCUUAUCUGCCCCUCCAGGGUCCAGCGGAGUUCGAAAGAUGACUGCAACAGAGAGUAUGAAGAAGACCAUUGGUCAUCGGGGAGUUGACCCCACAGGAGAAACCACUUACAAAAAGACGCCCUCCUCCGCCCUAAAAGGUGCCAUUCAGCUUGGCAUCACGCACACGGUGGGCAGCCUCAGUCAGAAAGCUGAGAGAGACGUCCUCAUGCAGGACUUUUACGUAGUGGAAAGCAUCUUCUUUCCCAGUGAAGGAAGUAAUUUGACUCCAGCACAUCACCAUGGUGACUUCAGGUUUAAGACCUAUGCUCCCAUUGCCUUCCGCUACUUCAGAGAACUCUUUGGCAUUCGACCUGAUGACUAUUUGUACUCUCUUUGUAAUGAUCCCUUAAUUGAACUGUCCAACCCUGGAGCAAGCGGAUCGAUAUUUUAUGUCACUAGCGAUGAUGAGUUCAUCAUUAAAACAGUGCAGCACAAGGAGGCAGAAUUCUUGCAGAAACUUCUUCCCGGAUACUUCAUGAAUCUGAAUCAGAACAAGAGGACAUUGCUUCCAAAGUUUUACGGCUUGUAUUGCGUGCAGUCGGGCGGAAAGAAUAUCCGUAUCGUUGUAAUGAAUAACCUUUUGCCGCGCAGUGUGCCUAUGCACUUCAAAUAUGACAUGAAGGGUUCCACAUACAAGCGACGUGCCUCCCCUAAAGAGAGAGAAAAGGUCAUCCCCACUUACAAAGACCUGGACUUUAUCCAGGACAUGCCUGAGGGCAUUCAACUAGAACCUGACAACUACAGUGCCCUCUGCAAAACCAUUCAGCGAGACUGCCUGCUGCUGCAAAGCUUUAAGAUUAUGGACUACAGUCUGCUGGUGGGGAUCCAUAACCCGAAUCAGGUGUCUCAUGAAAGGAUGGGUGUGGUGGAGGGUGGAGUGUCAGAUGGGGCCGUGACACCGGACCACAGGAGACCGCAGGUGCAGAAAGCUCUAUAUAGCACAGCUAUGGAGUCCAUACAGGGAGAAGCCAAAGGGAAAGGAUCACUGGAAACAGAGGACCAGUGGGGAGGAAUCCCAGCACGCAACAGUAAAGGAGAGAGGAUUCUGGUUUAUAUUGGUAUCAUCGACAUCCUGCAGUCUUACAGAUUUAUAAAAAAAAUAGAGCAUUCCUGGAAGGCCUUGGUCCACGAUGGGGACACAGUCUCUGUGCAUCGGCCAGGAUUCUAUGCUGAGAGAUUCCAGCGUUUCAUGUGCAACACAGUUUUUAAGAAAACACUAAAGUCAUCCCCCUCAAAGAAGAGUCGAGGAGGCUGUUCUAGUGUUGUGAGACGGCUUCCCAUGGGAUGUGCUGCUCCCGCACCCAGUGGACACGCGGUCACUGAUGCCAGCCUUGUGUACUGUACACAUCUUAACCAAGCUGACACAGAAGGAGAGAGCAGUUUGCAGUCUGGCAGACCUGACCUGCUCCAACGAGCGGAUCAUUUGGCUGCAAGCUCCAGUGAAUUUGUAGAGACAAAUCUGUCCAACUCCUCACUGGGCAGCACAGGAAUGACAUCAUCAUCACCUCCUACAAGGUCAGUAGGAGUUGAGGUGCACAAAUCUGCAAUCACAGAGCCUGACAACAGCACCCCAUACAGCAUGGGAGCUGAAUACUUAGAUGAGCAGUUAAGCAAUGAAGAUGCCAUUUCACUUAAAGACAUCAUCCCAGAAACUGACAUUUGUUUUUAAGAGCAGAGCUGACUGAUGACAGAGGAGAAUUUGAAAAGAGACGAGGGCACAGAAACUCAUGAAAGAUGAUGGGCGCCUCUUGAGCGCUGCUCUUGAAAGCAGCACUUUGGUUUGAAAACACACAUUUCUGCUGGAUACAGAAAUUGCAUGGCCUCCAAACACAUGGACUAACAUGGAUUUGCUUGAGGACACUUCAGAUGAACAUGCUACAGAUAUUUUUUUUCAACAAUGCAUGUUUUUGUUUUUCUAGUUACUAACCAUUUCAUACUAAAGCUUUUUUCUGGCAAUACACAAUCCUAUAAUGUGUAGAGAAGACUGUCAAGACUUUCAGAAAUUAGAAUUUCAGGAAUGUGAGCUGAAAUUAUAUUUUAACGAGUUUAAUCUAUAGGUGAGAAAUUUUGAGAAACUUCUCAACUGACUACCAGUUGACAGCACACAUGUAUUUUAACUACAUAAACUUUCCUAGGUACAGUUUCACUCACCCUGAAAAUAAACCAAUUAUUUGAAUGAACUGAGUGAAGAAACAUGGAAGACAAUGGAAACUUGGCACAUAUGAACAUUUUAGUUAACAGAGGAGCUGGAAAGGAAACCAAGGAGCCUUUUGCCCAAUAUGAGCUCUCUGAUAAAUCCACCUUCCCAUUAUCUGAACAAUACAGCUUCUGCUUCUCAUCCUCUUCGAUCAUGAAAUUGAACAGAGGAAGUCAUUUUUAAUGGGGCCCAUUUUGUGACAGCAUUACUUCCACUUAAGUGCCCAACCACACGUUUCUUGUUGGCUUGGAUACCUCUGCCACACAGAUCUGAGACUGUAGUUUUGAAGUAUUUAGAAGAAUAGCUGACAGUAAUGGACUGAACAAUGGAGUCUUUAACAAUAAUUUUGUGUUCUUAUUGAAAACUGUUGAUUCAUCUCUUAUAAACAGUAGUGUGGGACUGAAGUAAUCUUUUGCCAAGGAUUUGCCCUUGCAGGUAGAAAAUGCACCUGAAGUACAUUAACUGUCUUUCCCAAGACUGUUAUUGAUGAAAGUACAGAAUAGCUUUCAAUCUUCACAGUGGAUGCAGUAUUUAUGCACAUUCAAGUUUUUUUUUUUUUUUUUUAUGUAUGUAACGCAUGCUAAUCAAAUUGUAGAAUAUACAGAUAGAAGUCAAUCGAUUUUAUGAUGAAGUAAUGGCAAAAUUUGUUUGGCCAAGUGGGUCGAUUUAUUUAUUGUUCAUCUUGCUCCUUUGGUUUGGAUCAUUUCAGUGUAAUCUUUGUCAGAUAUCUCACAUUAAGUCUUGUUACGGAACGUUUUGAUCAUGCAGCUUAAUGCUGCACAAAACUUAAUACAGCUGGGGAUAAUAGCAAAAACAGCUAGGUUGGUUCACUUAUUACUAUAUCUGAACUACUAGUUGUCCUCUGCAAUUGUACAUUAAAGGAUUUUUAUCAAUAUUAAUUUUGACACUGAUCUUACAAACAGAAAUAUAUGCAAUUAAAAGGAAUAUUCCAGGUUCAAUACACGUUCAAUUAAUAGCAUUUGUGGCAUAAUAUUGAUCACAAUUUUAUUUUGACCACUCCUUUAUAAGCAAAAAUCUUGGUUCCAGUGAGGCACUUAAAAUGGAAGUGAAUGGAGCCAAUCUGUAAACGUUAAAAUACUUACUGUUUGAAAAUGAUAGUCUCUAGACUAAACAAUAUGCGUGUAAUAAUGUUGCAUACUAACCUUUUUUAUUGUGUAUAGUUAUAGCCAAUUUUACAAUUUUGUUGCCUUGACUAAAAAAAGAUAUGUUUUAACGAUGAUUUAAACAAUGUUACAGCUCAAAUGAUACAUGAGUUUAACAUAAGAAUUAAUGUGCUUUUAUAAAAUUAUAAGCUUCACAUUUCUGCCUUUAAACCAAAUUGGCCCCCAUUCACUUCCAUUGUAAGUGCCUCACUGUAACUUUUUGUGCAAAGUUUCUGCAUUGCAAAAGAUUUUAUUUUUUAUUAACAAUACCCAAAUUAACAACUUACCAUUGCAAGUUUACAGUAGAGUUUCCUCUCUUUGUUUAAGGUUGUGAUGAAACCCAAUCACUUUUAUAAAAAUGGGCUAAAAGUGCACAUGAUUGUAAUAAUUUCACUUUCAACCAUGUGGCAUUUUGUCUUUUAUCUGCUCUGCGUUUCAAUGCUUUUUAAGACCUUUUUCAAAUUAAGUUGAUUUAAGGUUUUGUGGAUACGUAGCAAAAACUGAUCUUGGAUCACCUCUCAGUGGCUCAGUUUCAUUCAGUUGGUUUGUGGGGUAGAUUUUUGCAUGGGUUGAAAUCUAAGCACACCAGAAUAGAGUUUAUAGUCCAGAUUUUUAUCCUUCACAAUUCAGACCUCACUCUUAUUCCUGUUUCUGUGCGAUUUUAUUUUUGUUAUUAAUAUCUAACCUUGUAAACCCAACCCAUGUUUCUGAUCUCAAGAUGACAAGACUCACUGCUCUCUGACCCAUAACUCACUACAGAGCCGUGUCUGUUUUUUUCAUGAGCUUGAAAUGUUUUUAAGUCUUGCUAGGAUUCUGCUCCUCUGAAACCACACUAAACAUAUUUACUCACCCAGAAUAUUGUCUCACUUCUACAAUGGUCCCAAAAGAGACGCUGUUGGCCUUACACGAAAGUAAACUGAGAGGGAACUCUUAAUGCAUUGAGCAGUCAAACAGAUGGUCAUUCUUCAAAUGCUUUAUAGCCCCUGCAGGGCUUUGCCCAGUGUUUUGUAACUUUAUUGAGAAGAUUUGUUUUGAUUAGUAACUAUAGUGAAACUAAUAAAUGCAUAACAGACACAUCAGUCAUGCACAGUAGACACAGUAUCAAAUUUUGAUAACUCAGACAUGAAAGAGACAACCAACCUAUUUCAAUUUAAAUGUUUCUGCCAACAUAUUUCAAUGAUUGUAUUUAUUAAGAAAUGUCUUGUUUUUUAUUUCGCCUAUUUACCUUGUUUGCCUGUAUGACUUUUGAAUGCUAUAUGUAUACGUAGAUGAUUGUAUUAUGUAAUCUAGCAGAAAGUCAUUUCUGUAAUUUAAAUAGUGCACAUCUAAUGCAGCGUACUGUGCAAAAGAUUUAGGCACUUGUGAAAAAUGUUGCAUAGUGAGGAUGUCUUCAAAAAUAAUUGAUAAUUUAUACAUUUAUGUCAUACAGUUUUUCUUGGUUGUUGGCAGAUAGGAUGUUCAAAGCUUCUUGGAGAAUUCACCAAAGUGCUUCUAUCUAUUUAGACUGUCUCAAUUGCUUCUGUGUCUUUAUGUAAUCUCAGACUGACUCGAUGUUCAGUGGGGGGCAUGCUAUCUUUUGCAGGGCUCCUUGUUCUAUUCUAUUCUCUUUGCAAAAGAAUGUUUGGGAGUCUAAAAUGUAUAUUUCCUAUUGACACUCUAUAGCUGAAGAUAUAAUUAACCAUCUUAAGACAAAUGUGUUUAUGAAACAUCUUAUGUGCCAAUAAGACUUUUGCACAGUACUGUAUUUUGGGUGGGAGGGAAGCUCUUGACAAUAUAAACUAUAAAAAAAAAAAAAUAUUUUUUUGUAUUUUAUGUUUAAGAUUAUGGUUAAUGUUCCCAUUCUUUAUAUAUCUGUUAAAGCUUUUCAGCUUCUCUACAUAUGAAUGUUGAAUGGUGCCAGGAACAAUGACUUAAGACUAUUUUUACUGGGCCUGUAUAAAAUGUGUAUAUAAUAUGUAUAUAAGCAAGUCACGGAAAUGCCUUUUUCUCACGUGGGGUUUCCAGCAGGUUUCUUCUACCAUAUUUCAGUAAUGUGGUGGUAGUGUUUUUUCACAUUGCCAUUCAGAAAAACAAAAUAAAAAUAAAAUAUUU
RNA transcript from Xyrauchen texanus (razorback sucker), 5613 nucleotides. It is a transcript of the gene named phosphatidylinositol 4-phosphate 5-kinase type-1 alpha-like, with no coding region annotated. The transcript has 17 exons. NCBI's taxonomy places the organism in Eukaryota, Metazoa, Chordata, Actinopteri, Cypriniformes, Catostomidae. The record is from RefSeq and is a predicted model, not a curated record.